This is a long non-coding RNA of Homo sapiens (human), 756 nucleotides long. RefSeq lists it as uncharacterized. The record is from RefSeq and is a predicted model, not a curated record. NCBI's taxonomy places the organism in Eukaryota, Metazoa, Chordata, Mammalia, Primates, Hominidae. The transcript has 3 exons.
CUCUAGCCUGGGCAACGGAGCGAGACUCCAUCUCAAAUUAAAAAAAAAAAAUAGUUUGGCUUAAGGUUUUUCUGGACAUGCAGAUAAUAUAAUUCUGACCUGAGGUCUGCAUGUUGUGGGGAAACUUGUGGUUAUGAAUUCUCAGUGGGACUGUUUUCUUUUUACUUCUUUUUUCCAGAAUCAGGCUGAAUAGCCAGUUAUCCCCGUAAGAGAUAUAAGGUAAGACAUGACCCAGACUAUGCCUCAAUCACUUGUCAUCAUGGUAGUGAUGACAAGUGAUUAAGGCAUAUUCUGAUUUAUUUCAGGGGAGACCAUUGGCAUGAAAUGUACGGAUCCACACCAGCCUCUGCUUAUGGUUCAUUGGCUCCCUAAGAGUCUCUUGGCGUCUGCAGUGACUAUGAGUGAAUAACAGGUCACCCUUCUUGCUUAGAGUAGAGCAGAUGGUUCACCCCGCAAGAAAGAACACUUGAGGUCAUUUGCAAGUGGAAAGAGAUUUGCAUUUGGGCAUGGAAAGGGCCGCUAGUAUGGAAACAUUCACACAUAUUCAAUGGGCUCAUCAAUGAGUGUCACGGGAGACACUUAAGAAAAUGCUGAUGCACAGAAGCUCAGAAGAGGCAAUUGCUGCCCUACCUUCACUCUGGACCACUUCUUCACCAGGUACUUUCUAGAUUGCACAUCACAGCCUUGUAGCUGGGUUCUAUUCUCCUUGGGAGAGAUGUCUCCAUCUUUCCUCUUCUCCAAGGCUUGGAGACCACA